Xiphophorus couchianus (Monterrey platyfish) is the source of this 313-nucleotide long non-coding RNA. RefSeq lists it as uncharacterized. The record is from RefSeq and is a predicted model, not a curated record. The transcript has 3 exons. Lineage: Eukaryota; Metazoa; Chordata; Actinopteri; Cyprinodontiformes; Poeciliidae.
AGGACUGGAGUUUGACACCUGCUUUUAGUAGAAGAAAUCUACAGGGUGGGCCAUACGUUUCCAUACAUGGGAGAAUGUAAAAUGUAUAUUUCUUUUAUAUUUCAGAUACCCAAGAAGAUGCGUUUGAAAAAAGAGCAAAGAAUUGAAAUUAUACUGAUGGCUGGAUCGGGAAGCAGUUGCAUGGUUGCACAAAACUUUAACAGGAAACAUGGAACGAGCGUCGCACACACAACACUGUGGCAAAACGUAUUUGCAAGUUUCAGAAAAGUGGAAAUGUUGCAGAUCAACCACAAAGUGGUCCGAGACAUGCAGC